This 494-nucleotide ribosomal RNA is filed under the name uncultured bacterium. RNAcentral describes it as "bacterial SSU rRNA". It matches the Rfam family "Bacterial small subunit ribosomal RNA", at positions 791 to 1283 of the family's 1533-position model. The record is from RNAcentral.
UAGUCCACACCGUAAACGCUGUCUACUAGCUGUUUGUGAGUUUAACUCGUGAGUAGCGAAGCUAACGCGCUAAGUAGACCGCCUGGGGAGUACGGCCGCAAGGUUAAAACUCAAAUGAAUUGACGGGGGCCCGCACAAGCGGUGGAGCAUGUGGUUUAAUUCGAUGCAACGCGAAAAACCUUCCUACCCUUGACAUCAUUGGAACUUGUUAGAGAUAACUUGGUGCCUUCGGGAACCAAUAGACAGGUGCUGCAUGGCUGUCGUCAGCUCGUGUCGUGAGAUGUUGGGUUAAGUCCCGCAUCGAGCGCAACCCCUAUUCGUUAGUUGCCAGCAUUAAGUUGGGGACUCUAGCAAGACUGCCGGCGUAAGCCGCGAGGAAGGUGGGGACGACGUCAAAUCAUCAUGGCCUUUAUGCCCAGGGGCACACACGUGCUACAAUGGUAGGUACAGAGGGGUAGCGAAGCCGCGAGGGUGGGAGCCAAUCUCAGAAAGCC